CUUCUUUUGGACAUCCUUCUUUUCUGGAGAACGAAGAGGAGACGGGGCUCUAGUAGACUUUGCACUGGAUGUAGAAGAUAACUUUUUAGAUGCAGAUGAAGGAAGACUAUUGGAGAUGGAAGAAUUGUAUAUGUCACUGGGAAGAUCCCAGACAGAUUAACCGCGCCAACUGUCUAAUUUAACUGUAUCUUUUUUAUUGGAUUUCUUUUUUUCAUUUUUUUGUGUGAUGACAUUGAGCUCUGCAAGGAAGAUUGAGUUGACUGAGUACUGGUUUUAGAAGUUUUAGUUUUUCUUAGAAUUAAUAUUUUAUCGUUAGGUUGUUUCAACAGGCAGCAUUGUAAAUGUCUCAAGAUCAAUCGGCCAGGUCAUGCGAGUUUGUGUAUGCUCGUCACUGAAUGAGCGGAUAACUUUGCUGGCGUACGAUGGUCUGUUUGAAACAAG
Molecule: long non-coding RNA, 441 nt
Filed under: Mytilus galloprovincialis (Mediterranean mussel)
Lineage: Eukaryota; Metazoa; Mollusca; Bivalvia; Mytilida; Mytilidae
Source: RNAcentral